AAACCCGGUCCGAAGCAGGGGGGACCACCCUCCAAGGCUGAACACUCUCCGAUGACCGAUAGCGAACCAGUACCGCGAGGGAAAGGUGAAAAGCACCCCGAGAGGGGAGUGAAACAGCGCCUGAAACCGUGCGCCCCCAAGCAGCGGGAGCCGUUCUGACGACGGUGACCGCGUGCCUUUUGUAGAAUGAGCCUGCGAGUCGCGGCAUGCGGCGAGGUUAAGGGACACCGAGCCGCAGCGAAAGCGAGCCUGAACAGGGCGAUUUGAGUCGCAUGCCGCGGACGCGAAGCCGGGUGAGCUAUCCAUGGGCAGGGUGAAGCGGGGGUAAGACCCCGUGGAGGCCCGAACCCACUUCGGUUGAAAACGGAGGGGAUGACCCGCGGAUAGGGGUGAAAGGCCUAUCAAACCCGGAGAUAUCUCGUUCUCCCCGAAACAGCUUUAGGGCUGGCCCCGGGCAUUGACCAUCGGAGGUAGAGCACUGGACCGGCGAGGGGGCCUCACCGCCUACCGACCCAGACCAAACUCCGAAUGCCGAUGGUUUUAACCCCGGGAGUCAGAGCGCGUGGGCUAAGCUGCGCGCUCGAGAGGGAAACAGCCCAGACCGCCCGCCAAGGCCCCAAAGGCCGUGCUAAGUGGCAAAGGAUGUGCGCCCGCCCAGACAACCAGGAUGUUGGCUUAGAAGCAGCCAUGCAUUCAAAGAGUGCGUAACAGCUCACUGGUCGAGUGGGGGCGCGCCGACAAUGCGCGGGGCUCAAGCACGGCGCCGAAGCGGCGGAAUCAUUUAUUUGAUUGGUAGGGGAGCUUUCCAUGCCGGGCGAAGCCGGAGGCGCGAGCCCCGGUGGACGGCAUGGAAGUGAGGAUGCAGGCAUGAGUAGCGAGAGAGCGGCGAGAAACCGCUCCGCCGAAAACCCAAGGUUUCCUGGGCGAGGCUAAUCCCCCCAGGGUCAGCCGGGAGCUAAGGCGAGGCCGCAAGGCGCAGCCGAUGCACGACGGGCAGACAUUCCCGUGCCGGCGCGGGCGCGCUACGACCGAUGGGACGACGGGGAAGGAUACGCGAGCGGGGUUCUGGACGUCCCCGUGAAAGCGCGUAGGGAGGGGCCCAGGGAAAUCCGGUCCCCACAUAUCCCGAGACGCGAGACGAGCCGCACGGCGAAGUCGCGGAUUCCAUGCCUCCUAGAAAAAUCCCUAGGCAGCGCCCACGCCGCCCGUACCAAAACCGACACAGGUGGGUAGGAAGAGCAUUCCGAGGCGAUCGGGGCAACCAUGGUCAAGGAACUCGGCAUAAUCGUCCCGUAACUUAGGGAGAAGGGACGCCCCCCAGCGUGUACCGGCUCGCCCGGGAAGCGCCGGGGGGCCGCAGCGAAAGGGCCCAAGCGACUGUUUACCAAAAACACAGGACUCUGCCAAGCCGCGAGGCGAAGUAUAGGGUCUGACGCCUGCCCGGUGCCGGAAGGUCACGGGGAUCCGUUAGCCUUUGGCGAAGCGGUGAACCCAAGCCCCGGUAAACGGCGGCCGUAACUAUAUCGGUCCUCAGGUAGCGAAAUUCCUUGUCGGGUAAGUUCCGACCUGCACGAACGGCGCAACGACUUGGGCGCUGUCUCGACCAUGGGCCCGGCGAAAUUGCAUUAUCCGUGAAGAUGCGGAUUCCCCGCGGAAGGACGGAAAGACCCCGUGAACCUUUACUGCAGCUUGGCAUUGGCCGCAGGCGCGGCGCGUAGAGGAUAGGCAGGAGGCUGCGAAGCCCGGGCGCCAG
Molecule: ribosomal RNA, 1753 nt
Filed under: human gut metagenome
Description: bacterial LSU rRNA
Rfam family: Bacterial large subunit ribosomal RNA
Source: RNAcentral